AGCUAAAUGACCGAGUUUAGGUGAUAAAUUGUAAAUUUAUCCACGAGAGUUUUCUCUUUAGCUA
Molecule: transfer RNA, 64 nt
Filed under: Heterocerus parallelus
Lineage: Eukaryota; Metazoa; Arthropoda; Insecta; Coleoptera; Heteroceridae
Description: tRNA-Tyr
Source: RNAcentral